GACGAACGCUGGCGGCGUGCUUAACACAUGCAAGUCGUACGGUAAGGCCCUUUCGGGGGUACACGAGUGGCGAACGGGUGAGUAACACGUGAGUAACCUGCCCACAACUUUGGGAUAACGCUAGGAAACUGGUGCUAAUACUGGAUAUGUGCUCCUGCUGCAUGGUGGGGGUUGGAAAGCUCCGGCGGUUGUGGAUGGACUCGCGGCCUAUCAGCUUGUUGGUGGGGUAGUGGCCUACCAAGGCGGCGACGGGUAGCCGGCCUGAGAGGGUGACCGGCCACAUUGGGACUGAGAUACGGCCCAGACUCCUACGGGAGGCAGCAGUGGGGAAUAUUGCACAAUGGGCGCAAGCCUGAUGCAGCAACGCCGCGUGCGGGAUGACGGCCUUCGGGUUGUAAACCGCUUUCAGCAGGGACGAAGCUUUUUGUGACGGUACCUGCAGAAGAAGCACCGGCUAACUAC
Molecule: ribosomal RNA, 462 nt
Filed under: uncultured bacterium
Lineage: Bacteria
Description: partial 16S ribosomal RNA
Rfam family: Bacterial small subunit ribosomal RNA
Source: RNAcentral